This is an RNA transcript of Lathyrus oleraceus (garden pea), 1311 nucleotides long. It is a transcript of the gene named aquaporin PIP2-3, with no coding region annotated. Lineage: Eukaryota; Viridiplantae; Streptophyta; Magnoliopsida; Fabales; Fabaceae. The transcript has 3 exons. The record is from RefSeq and is a predicted model, not a curated record.
AACCAUAGUCCAUAUAUACCCCCCUCCUCCACACUUCCCCAUCAUCAAAGUUUCUUCCUUUCUCUCUUCUCUGUCUUCUCUAACUACUUUCAUUCUUGUUUGACUGUGUUGUUUCAAAAGGGUAAUCCCAAUGGCAAAAGACGUUGAAGUUGCUGAACGUGGCUCUUUCUCCAACAAAGACUACCAUGACCCUCCUCCAGCACCACUCAUUGACGCUGAGGAACUCACAAAAUGGUCCUUUUACAGGGCCCUUAUUGCUGAGUUCAUUGCAACUUUACUUUUCCUUUACGUUACUGUUUUGACCGUGAUUGGUUACAGUAUCCAAACUGAUGUUAAAGCUGGUGGUGAUGAGUGUGGUGGUGUUGGUAUUCUUGGAAUUGCUUGGGCUUUUGGUGGCAUGAUCUUUGUUCUUGUUUACUGCACUGCUGGGAUUUCAGGGGGUCACAUUAACCCGGCAGUGACGUUUGGGCUAUUUUUGGCUCGUAAGGUGUCUUUGAUAAGAGCGGUUAUGUACAUGGUGGCUCAGAGUUUGGGGGCUAUUUGUGGAGUUGGGUUGGUUAAGGCUUUUCAGAAGUCUUACUUUGUUAGAUAUGGUGGUGGAGCUAAUUUUCUUCAACCUGGUUAUAGUACUGGUGUUGGAUUAGGUGCUGAGAUUGUUGGUACCUUUGUUUUGGUUUACACUGUUUUCUCUGCUACUGAUCCUAAGAGAAGUGCUAGAGAUUCUCAUGUGCCGGUAUGUUUUUAAUUCGUUUUUGGUUCUAGUUUUUCUAUAAUGGUUUUUCCUUUUUGUGGAUUUGUUUUCAAAUGCAUAUAUGAGUUUAGUAUGAACUGUAUAGAAUAUAUGAUGUAUGUAUUGACUAUUACAUGAAAGAUUAUGAGUUAACAAGUUUGAUAUGUGUAUCUUUAGAGCAAGUUUUGAAAUAUACUUGAAGAAACAAAUCUUAAGAUUUAUUAACGAAUUUUGGUUGAGUAGAGUUUGAAAUAUACUUUGAAGAAACAAAUCUUGAGAUUUUUAAGAAGUUAAUUGUGUUUUGGAUUCUAAAUGUAGAGUUUUGACGAAAAUAGUGGAAACUCAAAAUUUCAAAACUCAUCUCAAUUAAGGUCUGAUAUGGUCACGAAGUCUUGAACAAUAUUGCAUCCAGAGUUACAAUUAUAGACAUCAAUUUAAAACCAAGAAUUAGAGUUCUUUGGUUGGUUGAAAUGCAUCACUCCUAAUUUUAGGUGUUAAAUUUAAUGAAUUUAAUAUGAUAUACACACAUAAAAAACAUGCAUAUAGUUAAUGUUCAAGAAAAUGAUUUCAAAUUGGCAGUA